UACGUAGGGUGCGAGCGUUGUCCGGAAUUAUUGGGCGUAAAGAGCUUGUAGGCGGUUUGUCGCGUCUGCCGUGAAAAUCCGGGGCUCAACCCCGGACUUGCGGUGGGUACGGGCAGACUAGAGUCCGGUAGGGGACCACGGAAUUCCUGGUGUAGCGGUGAAAUGCGCAGAUAUCAGGAGGAACACCGGUGGCGAAGGCGGUGGUCUGGGCCGGCACUGACGCUGAGGAGCGAAAGCGUGGGGAGCAAACAGG
RNAcentral lists this ribosomal RNA (253 nucleotides) under uncultured bacterium. RNAcentral's name for it is "partial 16S ribosomal RNA". It matches the Rfam family "Bacterial small subunit ribosomal RNA", at positions 524 to 776 of the family's 1533-position model. The record is from RNAcentral.